This 1135-nucleotide ribosomal RNA is filed under the name Salmonella enterica. RNAcentral describes it as "bacterial SSU rRNA". It matches the Rfam family "Bacterial small subunit ribosomal RNA", at positions 1 to 1129 of the family's 1533-position model. RNAcentral also lists the same sequence under 2 other names. The record is from RNAcentral. Lineage: Bacteria; Pseudomonadati; Pseudomonadota; Gammaproteobacteria; Enterobacterales; Enterobacteriaceae.
UGAAGAGUUUGAUCAUGGCUCAGAUUGAACGCUGGCGGCAGGCCUAACACAUGCAAGUCGAACGGUAACAGGAAGCAGCUUGCUGCUUCGCUGACGAGUGGCGGACGGGUGAGUAAUGUCUGGGAAACUGCCUGAUGGAGGGGGAUAACUACUGGAAACGGUGGCUAAUACCGCAUAACGUCGCAAGACCAAAGAGGGGGACCUUCGGGCCUCUUGCCAUCAGAUGUGCCCAGAUGGGAUUAGCUUGUUGGUGAGGUAACGGCUCACCAAGGCGACGAUCCCUAGCUGGUCUGAGAGGAUGACCAGCCACACUGGAACUGAGACACGGUCCAGACUCCUACGGGAGGCAGCAGUGGGGAAUAUUGCACAAUGGGCGCAAGCCUGAUGCAGCCAUGCCGCGUGUAUGAAGAAGGCCUUCGGGUUGUAAAGUACUUUCAGCGGGGAGGAAGGUGUUGUGGUUAAUAACCGCAGCAAUUGACGUUACCCGCAGAAGAAGCACCGGCUAACUCCGUGCCAGCAGCCGCGGUAAUACGGAGGGUGCAAGCGUUAAUCGGAAUUACUGGGCGUAAAGCGCACGCAGGCGGUCUGUCAAGUCGGAUGUGAAAUCCCCGGGCUCAACCUGGGAACUGCAUUCGAAACUGGCAGGCUUGAGUCUUGUAGAGGGGGGUAGAAUUCCAGGUGUAGCGGUGAAAUGCGUAGAGAUCUGGAGGAAUACCGGUGGCGAAGGCGGCCCCCUGGACAAAGACUGACGCUCAGGUGCGAAAGCGUGGGGAGCAAACAGGAUUAGAUACCCUGGUAGUCCACGCCGUAAACGAUGUCUACUUGGAGGUUGUGCCCUUGAGGCGUGGCUUCCGGAGCUAACGCGUUAAGUAGACCGCCUGGGGAGUACGGCCGCAAGGUUAAAACUCAAAUGAAUUGACGGGGGCCCGCACAAGCGGUGGAGCAUGUGGUUUAAUUCGAUGCAACGCGAAGAACCUUACCUGGUCUUGACAUCCACAGAAGAAUCCAGAGAUGGAUUUGUGCCUUCGGGAACUGUGAGACAGGUGCUGCAUGGCUGUCGUCAGCUCGUGUUGUGAAAUGUUGGGUUAAGUCCCGCAACGAGCGCAACCCUUAUCCUUUGUUGCCAGCGAUUAGG